Solenopsis invicta (red fire ant) is the source of this 591-nucleotide long non-coding RNA. RefSeq lists it as uncharacterized. The transcript is spliced from 2 exons. The record is from RefSeq and is a predicted model, not a curated record. Lineage: Eukaryota; Metazoa; Arthropoda; Insecta; Hymenoptera; Formicidae.
UUUCAACUCGCAUCCUUGUCGUCUCGUAGGAGUAUUUGGAGAAGUCGCUGGUUGGCCGUGUACCAGUAAGCGUGUUUGUAAUAGAGUGAAAAAGCGCGGUCAGGAUUGCUGAUGCAAUCCUCCUUAUUCCUUGUGCAAGCAUAUCCUGUAUUCCUAUUUAAGUCUUUUUGUUUCCCAUAUAACUAUUGAAAGCAAGCUAAGAAAUACCUUGGUUACUAUGGUCAAAUCGUCCCCGCCACGUUGUUACACUGGGGACGGGUACCAUUAACGUUGAGAAGAAGAAGUCUCGUAGGAGUUUUCGAUGCGAGCGAGUUUUUCGAAGCUUAUAAAUAACUCUAUUCAUGCGACUCCAAGUGCUUACCAACAGCUGGUUCCGAAAGAUGUAGCACAAUCUUCUUACUACGCCCAAAGGCAAAUGGACCGGGAUUCUCCUCUUCAAAGAAAACGAUAUGUCUAAGCGACAACGACAAACAAGUAUUACCUCGUGAGAUAUCACCGGGCCUGCCCCAGAGUAUUCUGUGACUAGUUAGGAUUAAUUCGCCACUUUCGAAAUUUGUCUAUCGAAAUGCAAAAAAAGAAAAUUAAAUACAA